CGCGGUCUCUCACCUCCACACAUCGCUUCCCGCUCUCUCCCCCGCGACGACACCGACUUCCUACACCAGACCAGGCCCUCCUUCGACCUCCGCUCCUCCGCCGGGUCUCUCGAAGACGGCGGAGUUCGUGAUCUCAAAGGUAGAUGAUCUGAUGAACUGGGCCCGUAGGGGAUCGAUCUGGCCCAUGACCUUCGGGCUCGCCUGCUGCGCCGUGGAGAUGAUGCAUACAGGUGCGGCUCGCUACGAUCUGGACCGAUUCGGAAUCAUAUUCAGGCCGAGUCCUCGCCAAUCGGAUUGUAUGAUUGUCGCCGGGACGCUUACUAACAAGAUGGCUCCC
This 337-nucleotide long non-coding RNA is filed under the name Brassica rapa (field mustard). RNAcentral describes it as "long non-coding RNA (BRAP_LNC007955)". Lineage: Eukaryota; Viridiplantae; Streptophyta; Magnoliopsida; Brassicales; Brassicaceae. The record is from RNAcentral.